RNAcentral lists this ribosomal RNA (489 nucleotides) under Macrobrachium rosenbergii (giant freshwater prawn). RNAcentral's name for it is "partial 16S ribosomal RNA". Lineage: Eukaryota; Metazoa; Arthropoda; Malacostraca; Decapoda; Palaemonidae. The record is from RNAcentral.
UUUAACAUCUCUGUGUGAAUUAGUUAAAUAGUCUAGCCUGGGCACUGAUUUAUUUAAAGGGCCGCGGUAAUAUGACCGUGCGUUGGUACCAUUGUCAGUAGUCUUUUAAUUGGACGCUUGAAUGAAUGGUUGGACGACGGAUAAACUGUCUGCAAAGCGGCGAUUGUAAUUAACUUUUGACUGAAAAGGCAGAAAUUGUUUAGCGGCAGGAUAAGACCCUAUAAAACUUAAUAUAAUUAAGGCAUUACUUGCCUUGUGGGUGAAUAGUAGUUAUGUCUGGUAUAUAUAUCGUUGGGGAGAUGAAGAUAUUAUGAGUAACUGUGUAAUAAAAUAUAUAGCAUUGACUAGAAUUUGAUCCUUCCUUGCCGAUUAGGAGUAUAAGUUACUUUACCGAUAUCAGCGUGAUAUACUAAGAGAGUUCUUAUCGACAAGAGUAGUUGCGAGGUCGAUGAAGAAUUAAAAUUUCAGCUAGGUGUAGCCGAUAGCUGC